This 495-nucleotide long non-coding RNA is filed under the name Physcomitrium patens. RNAcentral's name for it is "long non-coding RNA (PPAT_LNC005199)". Lineage: Eukaryota; Viridiplantae; Streptophyta; Bryopsida; Funariales; Funariaceae. The record is from RNAcentral.
ACACACAAGCAUAUCCCAAACCCUGGAACGAACAACUUCAAAUCCACAGAAUCUAAUCAAGAUAAUUCCUUCAAUUACAAUUCCUCUCCACUAAACUUACAACCUUGCAAUAAACAGUGACUGGAAACUUCCAUACGUCCUCAAUCUUUCACAAAAAUUGAUAAAUAGUGAUCCAUAAACAACUUUGUAAAUCAAACAUUAAUUCAUUAAAUCGAUUUUUUUCACUAGAAUCAACACUAACACAAAAGAAACAAAAAAACUAAGCAGAAGAGAUAGCACCAAGCUUAUCCCCGGCUCACAACUCUCACAGUCUAGCCCUCGGCUUAUGAUUCUCACAGUCUGGCAUUUUCUUCCUCUCUUCCAUCCUCCUUAUACUACCCUGAGAUACCAACUCCUAUACUACAGAUGAUAACUACUUUUCUUGACUAUUCAUCUAUUCUACCUGCUGAACCACCUUUUCAACAGUUAUCUAUCUCUGUUUACACUAUAUACUAG